Molecule: unclassified non-coding RNA, 240 nt
Filed under: soil metagenome
Description: partial contains 5.8S ribosomal RNA, internal transcribed spacer 2, and large subunit ribosomal RNA
Source: RNAcentral
AACGGUCUAUACCUGCGGUACCUGCGGAAGGAUCAUUGCGAAUUGGAGGAUGGUGGUGGGAAGAUUGGAGGUGGUUGGGCCUGAGCCUUGGCUUGAGCUUUGACACUAUUCAAUGCAACCACUGAUUCCAUACAUAUGCACGAGUUGUGGUGGUUGGGAAGAUUGGAUGUAGUUAGACGUUACAACACGUUGAAUUGCAAUCAAUAUCCAUACCAGCCACACUCAUGUUUACGCUUGUUU